UAAAAAAUUUGGCGGUAUUUUAGUCUAUUCAGAGGAAUCUGUUCUGUAAUCGAUAAUCCACGAUGGACCUUACUUAAAUUUGUUAAUCAGUUUAUAUACCGUUGUUGUAAGAAUAUUUUAAAAGAAAAAUAAUUUUCUUUAAUUUUAAUUAAAAUUUAUAUCAGAUCAAGGUGUAGCUUAUAUUUAAGUAGAAAUGGAUUACAAUAAAAAAAUUUAUAUGGAAAUAAGUUUGAAAUAAUUUAUUGAAAGUGGAUUUGAUAGUAAAAUUAUAGAGAUUAAUAAUUUGAUUUUAGCUCUAAAAUAUGUACACAUCGCCC
Molecule: ribosomal RNA, 317 nt
Filed under: Hemeromyia anthracina
Lineage: Eukaryota; Metazoa; Arthropoda; Insecta; Diptera; Carnidae
Description: partial 12S ribosomal RNA
Source: RNAcentral